CCAAUAGCGUAUAUUAAAGUUGUUGCAGUUAAAAAGCUCGUAGUUGAACUUCGGGGUCUACCCAUUGGUCAGGCUUAAUUGUCUGUACUGGUGAGAUGGAUCUCUACCUUCUGAGGAACUCUCAUGCCAUUUAUUUGGUGUGGUUGGAAAUCAGGACUGUUACUUUGAAAAAAUUAGAGUGUUUAAAGCAGACUAUCGUCUGAAUACAUUAGCAUGGAAUAAUGAAAUAGGACGGACUGAUUCUAUUUCGUUGGUUUCUAGGAUCACCGUAAUGAUUAAUAGGGAUAGUUGGGGGCAUUAGUAUUCAAUUGUCAGAGGUGAAAUUCUUGGAUUUAUUGAAGACUAACUACUGCGAAAGCAUUUGCCAAGGAUGUUUUCAUUAAUCAAGAACGAAAGUUAGGGGAUCGAAGACGAUCAGAUACCGUCGUAGUCUUAACCAUAAACUAUGCCGACUAGGGAUCGGACGAAGUUAAUUUUAUAAUGACGCGUUCGGCACCUUACG
This 502-nucleotide ribosomal RNA is filed under the name uncultured Glomeromycotina. RNAcentral describes it as "partial small subunit ribosomal RNA". It matches the Rfam family "Eukaryotic small subunit ribosomal RNA", at positions 591 to 1092 of the family's 1831-position model. Lineage: Eukaryota; Fungi; Glomeromycota. The record is from RNAcentral.